This 23504-nucleotide long non-coding RNA is filed under the name Brassica napus (rape). Its description in RNAcentral is "long non-coding RNA (BNAP_LNC021026)". Lineage: Eukaryota; Viridiplantae; Streptophyta; Magnoliopsida; Brassicales; Brassicaceae. The record is from RNAcentral.
GUUCUAAAUCCCCAGGACUGCUUGAAGCAUCCUUUAUCUCACAUGAAACAUCCACGUAACCCCAGCGCAUGUCCCAACAGGCAGAAAAAACCGGUUUCAAACCGCACGCGCCGCAGCCCGCCGCGAAAACAAACCUCCCCAUCUCCCCCUGUAGCCCCGCCGCUUCCAAAGGGAACGGUGACGACGCGCCCCAACAACAACAACAACAGCGUCGUCGCUGGUCAGGUUAGAAUCCUGAAGCGCGGCGAGGAGAUCCCUAAGAAGACAACAGAUCUGGUCGUAGAAAAGACAGAUCUUGUCUCUACUCGUAGGAUCGGACCGGAUCCAGGAAUGGUUCCGAGUCAGAUCCGUUUACCCGUCCGCAAAGCAAAGACCGUCCCGUUUUACGCCGGUCCCGUGACCAUGACGUCUCCUCCUCCAAGCGACGUCCCUCUUCCAGCCUUUUUCGCUGCAAAGGAGCGUCUCUUUGUUCCAAGCCGCCGACGCUACCAACGAAAUCAUCAGGAUGCUCCGCCUAAACAUCGCGUGACCCGCGUACGGCCGAUGUUCCACUGUUGUCCAAAACUGUUCCAUUUUCGGAUCGAAUCUUUCAAAUAAAUCAUCUACAGACGGAUGAAAUCGAGAAGGUGAAGAAACAGCAUCUUCAGUUAUGAAACCGUUUUGUAUCUUCCCUUAUUUUUUCAAGGGGCAAGGUCGAAAUAUCUUCUUAACAGGCCUUAGUUUCUCUUCGAGUUUAGUGUUUGUAUAGAGUACUUGUUCAUAGGCUUUCUUUUUUUUUAAUUGUGUCUUUUGGUAUCUCCUGUGUUAGUUGCCGGUUUACUUUUAAGUUCGUCUUUCUUCUGUUGUGUCUCUUGUUGUUUCUCACCGUAGGCAAAGUAUCAGAGAUAUGUAUGUAUCUUUCUGGCAAUAUGCAGAUUGCAGUUUCUGUAUUACUUUGAUCUUUCGAUGUAAGAUCAGUAUUUCCAUCUUUAUAUUAAUUGAAAUUUAAGUUUUAUUUGUCUUUUUUUCCAUGGUUGUUCAAAGUAUUCUAUUCAUCCCUGAUAUCAAUCUAAGCGAUACGAAGACCUUGAUAUUGUGACAUUCUUAUGGAUCUGCUUUACAAUAACUCAAGAUAUAAAACUGGUUAAUGCUUCCCUCAAUUGUUUAACUUGUUACAUAAACUAUUCACGUUUGAAACUUGAAAGUGUGUCUCUUAUCACACGCAAAGAAACAGUGUUUAUACGUUUUAAACUAUCACACGCAAAGAAACAGAUUUUUAAGUCUUUUCUGAUUAGUGAUUUUUAAUAAUGCACGCUUGAUCCAUUUGGGAUUUUUAAAAACGGUCAUCGAUCUUAGAUUUAUCAUUGUGAACAAAUUAUAAAUUUUAUAGGUUGUCAUCAAUUACAUGCCAAGUUGCAAGAUACCAGCUCUCAUGGUUGGGCGGCCCACCAUGACCCUCUAUAGCCCAUAACUUUACAUAAGGUAAUUUUAAAAGAAUCUGCAUUCGAUUUUCACAAAAUAACAUAAGGUAAUUUAAUAUGAUUGAUAGAAACUUAUAAUUUAUUUAUCUCUAAGUUAAACUACUUGCCUUGUCUUUUUACUUCCGUAUCAAAAAAAAUUGACGGUGUUAACGGGGCUGGUUGGCACUAGGCAGCUGUCGAUUGUUCAUUGGUUGAACAUUACGUGUUAAAUGAUAAAUCCCCAAUAAGUCAGUAGCCACAUCAGUUUUUUUGUUCCUUUGCAUAUAAUAAUAAUAAAAAAUGUUUUAAAUCCAUAAAACAGCAAGGUGCCCUAAUAGUGAGACAAAAAAAGAAGAAAGAUUAACCCAAUUGCAAAAAAUGUUAUAGAGAAUCUUUACAUAUAAAUAUAAGAAAUAAUUAGAUAUACACUUUCCUAGCCAUGUUAAUUAACUACUUAUUAUCUCAAAGUUAAAUCCAAAUCUGCAUCUUGCAUUUGCUAAAAUGUAAAAAACAAUUUAUGUUUCGAAAAAUACAAUAAAGAAAGAAAAAAAAAGAGACGAAUAAUAAUAGAGUGAGCCUCGUAUAUAACAACACCAUACAUCUCUCUUUUUCUUCUCUGUUUCGAUACUUCAACUUCCUCCUUCUCUCUCUCUCUUCUGUAACUUCCCCCUUCAUUCUCUUGCAUAUCUGAUUCCCUUUGAUUGGUGAAGCUUCAAUGAAGAAGGUUGUUACAUCGGCAGCAGCUAAGAUGACGACGGUUAAGGAUGAGUGGGUGGCGGCGGCGAUGACGGACGACCAGAUGGUCGUAGAGCUUCUUUUACGGCUGAAGCACGCGGGGACGGUAGCUGCGGAGAAUCCGGAGACGAAUCUCCGGUGGGGAAUCCGUCAACGGAGGUCACGGUCCUCAAGAUUUGGCGGCGGCGUUACGUUGAAGAAGGGUGUGGAUUCGGUUAGAGGUAGUCCGAAGACGCCGCUCUCCUGGAGCGGCGGAUCUGGAAGUGGCGGCGCCUCUGCAUCUCCCUCCGCCGAGGACACCAGUCGCCAAGCUAGCUGCUCCACGUCUGCAGGAUCCGGAUCUAAGGUACUUUCUCCUCCUCCUCCAAACUUUCUUCUCCGGCGAUACACGUCCGUCGUGUGUUAGUAAGUCGUUCUCCUCGUCUCUGUAUCAUCCCUUCUUCAUGAUUCACACGAUUCGUAAUUCUAUGAUGACGUCAUCUCUUUCAAGCCGACGGAGACGGGUCGGACCUCCCUCGGCGUUUACGGCGGAGCCACCACCUUAUUUUCUCUAGCUCUAGGUUUAUUUUCAAACUAACUCUUCCGUUUCCAAAAGUCAAAAGCAUUUUUUAGUUUAUUUUCCUUUUUUUCGUUCUUGACAAUAUUCUAUGGCAAAGCUUAAUAAGAUCUGGUGGUUGGACGGUUAAUCUUCUCGAUUAGUUUAACGCUCCGGUUUGAACCGGAGUUUUCAAGCGGAUCUCACCUUGUGGAGCGUCUCAUAAUUGGCCGGUUUAGAGGUGAUUUUAUGAACCGGCCGAGUUUUAAAUUUUGUCUCGAGGAAUAAUAUAAAGCUUCUUUAGGAUUUUUAUUAUGGGGUUAGUACAGCAAGUUGGUCAAACGUGCACGUUCGCUUUACGUUUUGAUGCGUGAAACGAUACCGUUUUGGGUGAAAAGGUGGGAGGCGAGUUAAAUCCUGUCGGAGAGAUUAGGAUCACGUGAUCUUAAAAGAAUGAUGACGAUUGAUGACGCAGGGAUUUUCACAUCCAUUUUAGUAGUUUUACUGUCUUUCUGAUUUUCCUGACUUUUUUUUUUUGUUUGAAAUUUUCUAUUGUGGGAAAACAAACUUUACAAGUAUGUUAAAUAAGAUCUUUGGGUUUGAUUAUAGGAAAAGUGAAAGAUCUAUAAACAGUUGUCCUUAUUCGUCAGCAUAUCAUUGUCUUCAUUGAUAGUAACACCUUCAAUUUGGAAGAUUUGGCAUUUUAAAUUUUCUGAAUCAGUAUAUUUUCUUAUUUUGUUUUUGCAGGCUUUCCCCACUAACGAAAUCACCAGUUGUUUUCCCAAGAGAUUGAAGAACAAGAAGGUAUUAAAAAAAAAACUCUCUUGAAUUUACAAAUUACACUUUAAUACUGAGCUGAGUUUUUUUUUAAUAUUUGGCAGUCAACUUCUGAGCUUAAACACGAAGAGAACUUGAAGUUGAAGGAAAGACUCCACCUUGAAAAGGUACUUUCUCUUUUUCUAACCUUUGUUUUUGGAGGGCAAGACCGCUACCUCGGAGAGCUUAUUCUUCUUACCUGAUCUCAACAUAACGCCAUCCGAGGACGAGUUAUUGUAUGGAACUAGCUAGGUGCCAAAAUUUCUAUCUCGAUUUGAGUUACGACCAAGAAGGGAGGCAGAGACUUUAACAAAGAAAGUGAUUGUAUAUUGUCUCUUCCCAUCAUUCUUGUUUCUUUCUGGGUAAAACGCUCAUUACUUCUUGAUUAUUUUUUUUUAAGAAGAAAGUGAAUGUUAAGUUCUUUAGUGUUUUGUUCUCUCUCUUUUCUACCCGAUUCCUUGUAGCUAAAGCGUUGUUUGAGGAAAAAGUAGGACAACUAGUAGACUUUUGUGUCUUCGAAUUUCAACUUUAUUUUUAAAAUUAGAAGGAUAAAUCCCUUGUUUCUGCUCAACUAAUCCAAGACAAGAGAGAUCUCUCUAUCCACCUCAUUUGUCCACGAUUAUUCUAGUAUUUAAUUUUUCAAUAUUUUAUUUAAAACUUGUGAGGUGUAGUGUUAUUGGUGGUUCGUCGGCGUGUCCAUGAAUAUAAAAGAAAAACAAAUGACAACUUGUGAUCACCUAAUUUUGUCGGUCUUUUGUAUAGAUCCAAAGUUAUUUAUUACUAUUGCAGAUAAAUACACAAAAGUUAGAUGGUACUUAUUGUUUAUAAAUGUCAUAAAACAUGUAAUUUGAGGGAAAAUGGAUUUUUAAAGGAAAAACUAUAUUUGAUACUCCUUCCGUUUCAUAUUGUAAAUAGUUUUAGAAAAAAAAUUUUGUUUCAAAAUGUAAGUAGUUUUUAUAUUUCUAAGUAAUUUUUACAUUUAUUGAAUAUAAUGUAACCAAUCAAAUUAAAUAUAUUUAUUUUUGAUUGGCUAAAUUAUAUCUAACAUAUUUAUUAUACAAUACUUUUUAAAACAUAAUAAUUUUCUUAAUUUUUGUGAUUUUAGCUAAAGCUACUUACAUUAUAAGAUUAAAAGAAAAAAAUAUAAUAUUACAUAUAUGCUAAAAUAUCCAAAACGAGAAGCAACUGAGAAAGUAAAGUAGUAUAUUUUCAAAUUAUUAGCAGUUGACAAAAAAAUAAAGAAAGAACACGGUUUCAGACAUUUAUGGUUAAUUAAGACACGGUUGGUCUGGACGAAUAAUAACUCCUAGGGGAAAGAGAAAAAUAGUAUUUUUUUCUCCAAUCCCCAAAACGCAAGAAAACAAUGUCGUUUAACAGCUCCCACCUCCUUCCUCCGCAGGAAGACCUUCCUCUCCGACACUACUCCUCCGAUCAAUCACACCAACCGUCUCUCCUCACCGCCAGUUUCCUCCACCUCCCUCCCACCACAGCCACAACCGACUCCGAGUUUACCCAUCCGCAUCGCGACGGAGACAGUCCCGCUGCUGCUGCUACGAACCGACGGUGGCUCUCAUUCCACACGGAGGUCGAAAACACGGAAGAAGUCAAUCCUGAAGUCAACGCCGAUGGUGUUGAAGAUUGGAAGAGCGCUAGCGACAAAGCUGCGAUUUUGAAACAUCCCAUGUACGAGCAGCUUCUGGCAGCCCACGUGGCUUGCCUUAGGGUCGCUACUCCCGUUGACCAGAUUCCGAGGAUCGAUGCCCAGCUCAGCCAGUUACACACCGUAGCCGCAAAGUACUCCUCUCUCGGUGUGGGUAUGGACAACAAGGAGCUUGAUCAUUUCAUGGUAAGUUGGAUAAAAGGAGCUUCCUUUUUUUUUGUCAUACUCUGUUUUGUAUGUCUUAUGGCUUGUUUUAUGAUGAUGCAGUCACAUUACGUUGUGGUGUUAUGUUCGUUUAAAGAACAACUCCAACACCACGUCUGUGUCCAUGCGUUAGAAGCCAUUACGGCUUGUUGGGAGAUUGAGCAGUCACUACAAUCCAUAACGGGUAUGUAUGGUCUCACCUUCUCGCUGUAUUGUAUGUCUUUGUGAUUUUGUGUUGUUUGUGGGCUGCAGGAGUUUCACCGAGUGAAAGUAACGGCAAGACAAUGUCUGAUGAUGAUGAAGAUGAUAAUCAAGUAGUAGAGAGCGAGGUGAACAUGUUUGAUGGAAGUUUGGACGGUUCAGAUUGCAUGAUGGGAUUCGGGCCUCUUGUUCCAACCGAGCGGGAGAGAUCCUUGGUGGAGCGUGUGAAGAAGGAACUGAAGCAUGAGCUUAAACAGGUAGUUGCGAUAUUACAUUAAAUUAAACUAGAACACAUUUGUGUUAUAUCAUGUCAUGUGUGCUCGUAUUUUUAUAGGGUUUCAAAGAGAAGAUUGUGGACAUAAGAGAGGAGAUAAUGAGGAAGAGAAGGGCUGGGAAGUUGCCUGGAGACACAACGUCUGUGCUCAAAGAGUGGUGGCGGACUCACUCCAAAUGGCCAUACCCAACUGUAAAAGCCUCAGCCAAGACAUUUUCUUACAACUUUCUAAAAGGUUUUUUUUUUAGUUGGUUUUUGAAUUUUUUUGUAGGAGGAAGAUAAGGCAAGGCUUGUGGAAGAAACCGGUUUACAGUUGAAGCAGAUUAACAAUUGGUUUAUCAACCAGAGGAAAAGAAACUGGAACAGCAGCUCUUCCACAUCAUCUACUCUCUCCAAGAGCAAACGUAAACGGUAAUAACAAGAUUUGCGUUUCCUCAUAAUAUAUAUAUAGUUUUGUUUCUUGCACAAUUUAAUCAGUCUCAUAUCCUCUAUCUACCAAACUCAGGACUGGGAAGUCGUAGGUGACAUUCUGGUUAACCAGAGGAUGAUGCUUGCUUCUCCGGAUAUGAAAGACAUGGUUUCUCCUCCGGUUAUGUGAUCGUACUAAUUACAAUAUGUAUAGGUCUAUCGGUUUGCCUAUAAAAUUGGAUUUGUAGAGCUUAAUCAUGUUUGUAUCAGCUUAAAAUCUAUGUUUAUGUGUGUAUAUAAAGUAUAGUUCUUGGAAGUUGGUUUUUGCGUCUAGUAAUGAACGCUUGGUCGGUUUUUUUCUUUGUAAAUUGCUAUGGUUCAUUAGUAUCAAACAAUAUUCAUCGCAGUUAAAUCUUUAUCUCAAACAAAAAAAUAGUUUUGUAUAAGUGCAAGCAGCCAGUACCGGUCCUGACAUAUAAAUGACCAGAAAUUAAGUUUUUGUAUAAAUGAAAGCAAGAGGUAGCAGCUUUAGGCAACUUUACAGUUUUGUAUAGUUGUGACCUCUUGCUAAUCCCCGUUAUUGGACUUGACCAUUGAUUUUAAUCUGAGAAAUACCUUUUUAUUCAAUUUUUUUUUUAAAAUAAAACAAUCUGAAGUCAGGGUACAACAAACAUUCACACAACAACAAACACAUUUAACACACUAAUCCAAAAUCAACAACUAAUAAAAAAAUGAUUACAGAGCUAUGUUACAAAAAACAAACAAAACAAACAAAGAACAUAUUAACCAAUAUGUUGUAUCAAAUCAGAAGAGAAGAGAAGUAUCACCAUCUAAAAACCUUCUUCUCUAGACUGAAUCCUAAUCAGUCUCAGCCUACCACAUGAUUAUCGCAGAGGCCAAGAGUAUAUAUCCCGUGGAGAUCAAUAUCCAUAGAAAAAAUUAUAGUGUUCUUUUGAAAUAUGAGACUAAACCAAACCAAAAGGGAGGAGAUAAAAAUGAACACCACUCCCAAACAAACAAAGUGACCUGCAAUACAUUGUUGAACAAAUCAAAAGAUUAGCUUUCCAUCAGGAUUAUGUGAAGCAGAUAUGAGUUACUACUUACUUACUUACCUACUGAUACAUACUGAGAAGAAUGUUUCAUCAACCAGAUCCAGAAAACACAUUCUCCAAGAUAUCAUGCAGUUUUGGAGCUCGUCUCCGGAACAUCGGUUCUAACCGGAAAGAAGGGACACCGGUCUGCCAUCGCUUGGCAUCAUACAUCUCAUUCCACGCCUGUACUAUCUCAUCAAUCUUGAACCCCAUACCUUCAAGUGCACUCUCGCUUGAACAAUGACUCUUCACCAUCACAGCUACAUCAGUUGAAGAAGCUCCAGCUAGUUCAAACUUCUCAACCGCAACCUCCAAACAUUCCUCCCAAGUUAGCAACCCAAGCUUAUACUCCACUAUAGAGCGUUCAUACAGCAAGGAGCCCCACAAGAGAUUAAUCUGAGAACUCAUAUUAGCCGUCUGUUCUUCACUAAACAACUCCAUCUUAUGCAGCAGUGACUUCUCUUUAUCAUACUUUGAGAUUCCGUUUAGACGACCCUCUUCCAUCUCUUCCCAUAUCUGCAUACCCUUCUCCAUGCUAUCCUCAGCUUUGUUGUACAGCAUAAGAACCUCCUUAGACACCUCACUCUCUAUAUCCACCUUCCUUUUGAGAGCAUGAUACCACAAAAGCUUUGCGUGUUCGAACUGUUCUUGACCAAGCGCAAUGAGAGCUUCGUAGAAGUCAGGUUUAAUCUUGAGAGCUUCCUCAUACUUCUCCGCAGCUUUGUUGUACUCGUUCAGUGUCCACACAAACGCAGCUUCUAUUACAGCUUCUGUUGAAGCGUCUUCUGGAAAGUAGACUUGCUUCCUCGCCUUUGACAUAUGGACGUUACCCCAGUUGAACAUAGCUAGCGCACCCAUUUCUCGGAACUUAUCAGCUGCUAUUUCGAAAAGCUUUUGAGCGUCUUCGCCAGUUACUGCUUCCUCCAUCGCUUCUGUGUAGAGCUUCAUCCCUAGGUCGUGGAGGUCCAAGUAAGAAUCGGAAUCAAACCCUACAUGGUUCUUGAACAUCUGCGCAAACUGGAAGAUCCAGUUCUCAAAGGAGGUGGAUGCUUUGUCAGAUUCAACCUUCAUGCCAUCAUAGGUUGGUUCUUGAUCAGGGUGAACUUCAGCUAUAUAUAUUCUUAAGGAACCGAGUUUGUCAUUGUUAGAAGCAGCUAGAUUCAGUUCAUUCGUUGCAGUGAUGGUGACUAAAUCACCUUCUGGAUCCUUGUACUUGAUCAAGAAACCUCUGAGAGAAGGGAAACGAUCUUUGAUCACAUCUCUUACGAGUCUAACGCUGGAAUCUAGCGGUAACUGUGCCCACCUGAUAUCAUCUCCAUGUACCAACUUAACCGUUCUAGUAACUGUUGACUGUUCGAAAAACUCAGAGGCAAUGACCUCUUUGUCCAUGACAACAACCUUAUCAUCUUCCAUCUUCCUCUCUUCUCCUCCUGCCUUGUUACCAUUUCUCUUCUUCUGUUUCUUGAGUUUAGGUUUCUUUUCUUCUUUAUUACCACCAAUCUUUGCAUCAAUCUCAGACUUUUUAUCGCUCUUCUCCUUGCUCUCUCCUUCGUCUCUCUUGACAAUCUUUGGACUCUCAACACCACUCUUCUUCUUCUUCUUGCUCUCCUUAACAACCUUCUUUAAACUCGCUGGGCCAAGAGGCUGCACAUUAACAAAGCUCUUCUCCAUCUCAUCAACAUCAACACCUUUCUCCACCAACGCCUUCUUCACCCUCUCAAACACUUCAUUCGCAGACGCGUUCUCCGGCUCCAUGUUCAGCACAAUCCUAGCAUCCCUAAACGCGUAAUCUAGCUUGUUCAAAGCCUCGUAACACCUAGACCGUCGCACUAGAGCCUUACUGUACCUAGGAGAAGCCUCGAGAGCCAAAUUACAUUCGUUUAUAGCGUUUGGAUACUCACCUAAACCCAUUCGCAUGUAGCAAGAAGCCAUGCUCGUUCUAAGAUACGCUACAUCGAUGUGUUCCUUAGGCAACAGCUUAACGGCCUUGUCGAAGCUUAACAUCGCUCCUUCGUUGUCGCGUUUUUGGAAGAGCUUGUUCCCUUCUUCUUUGAGCUCGAGUGCUCUGCUGAUGAAUAUCUCCAUGUCUUCGUCGAAGGCUCUCGAAGUCGAACGAUGGUUGGUUUUUCCGCCGCCGGAAGCAUCCUUUGCCGUCACCGGAGUUUUCUUCUUCGUCGCCGGUUUUCCCAUUUUCAAACUACUUUCCCGAUAUAGAAAACAAUUAAUAAACGUGUAAGAUUGAAGUUUGAUGAUGAAGCAGAGGAAUGAAACAGAGAAUAAGAAGGAGAAGCUUUUAUGUUGACACUUCAAAGGGAACACGACACGACUCUUUCCAUAGGUGGAGUGAACCCUAAUCCAAGAAUAAAAUAAAUAAUAGUAAAAAAAUACACAUUUGUUUGUUUGCUGUAAUAAGCAAACGGUAUUGUAUUCCGACCAAAGCGAAAGUCUUCGUUGUGUGUGUUUGCUGGAAACUGGAAAGAUAGAGAAUUAUUAGUUUUUCUUUUUCUUUUCAAUAUAUAUAUACGAAAUAAAUAUCUAUAAGGAAAAAAAAACUCACAGAAUAUUUUGAUAUUGGCCCCAAUAAGUAUAAUGUAGUAUUUUAGAUAAAUAAAAUUAUUUAUAAAAUCAAUGUAUUUGUAAUUAACAUUAAACUAAAAGUUGCAUUUAAAUUUUAAAAUGACAUUUUUGUAAUUAACAUUAAUACUAAAAGUUGUAUAACAAGAUUUUCAGAAACAAAAUGAGUAAUUUUUUCCUUUUAUAAUAUGUGAAUAUGAAAAAUCGAUUUAAGAAAAAACACAUACAGAAUAAUUGAUAUAGGCCCAAUAAGUAAGUUUAUCUAGGCCCAAUAGGUAUAUUUAGCCCUCUCAAUUUCUCAAAUUUUUACAGAAAGAUGCUCACAUCAAUUUUAUUGGCAAAAAAAAAAGAGAUAACUCAUAUUGCUUGAGACACAUGAAACCUAAUAGCCUUGUUCAUAGGAUCAUAGACAUGUUUCUUGUUACAUAAAUCAUGUUUCUUGUUACAUAAAUUAAUGGUUGAAACUUUAGCCGACCCUGGAGCUUACGGGUUUGAAGAAGUAAGGCUCGCCGGCAUAAGUAAACUGAGCGGUGCCGCCAGCUGCUAUAGCGUUUCCGUUAAUCAGAAGACAUGUGUUUCCUCUUGGGAGCAGUAGCCACGGUUCAACAGGCUUCACGGGAGCAAAACCUCCGCAAGAGAGAGUCACGUGCAACUGAGGUUGGGAGCACGUGUUGAUCACCGAUAUUUUCCACUCCGGUUCUCCGGAGAUUACUCUCCCCGUCCUCGCCCCUCCGAUCUGGAUGUUAGCGAAAGAGCAGCCGCACAGUCCUGGAUUAAGAUAAAAGGCAUGAAACUUAUGGGAUACAUCAUACAUGAAAAAAGUCUAUAGAGAUUCGAUUAUACAUUACCUUGAGUGACCAUAGACAGAAGAAGAAAGACAACAAAAUACCUAAGAGCAAACGUCAUUGUUGUUGUGAUUUUGUGUGUUUUGAAUGAGAAAAGAGUCAAUCAGAUUUAUAUAGUCGUUGCUUAUGCUUUAAGUCUCUUGCAGCCUUAAUUAGUAAAGAUAUAGUCCUAGAUUUCAUAAGAAUAUGGAAACACAAUUACCAAAUAAACAACAGUAUAGUUAGUAUAUAUCUAUACACUUUUGGCAAUGUAUUUUACUUAUUAAUUGCUUGUAUUUGGUUGGUCAAUGUAUCUAAGAUUUCAAGGUGUUUACUUGCAAGGUGUUUUAUCUCUUUAUUAUUUUUAAAACAUUUCAUACUAUGUGUCUUAACACUACACUGACUGCCCAUAUCCUUCAGAUUAAUAUUAUUAUAGUUUUUGCAUGAGAUUUGUGCUAAGGAAAUUAUAUAAUAGACGGAAGAAUGAUGAGUAACGAAAAAGUAAUACUCAAUUCGGAGCUAACCAUUCCCUAUUUUGUUUUCUUACCCUAAAGCUCAAGAGAUAUGCCCUAAUCAUGUAAUGAAUGGCCUAAUCAUACUUUCAUCCUACCAAAACGAAUUAUAAUUUUUGUAUCAGGUCUAAAAAUUGCCUCAAAGAGUAUCAAAGCGCCAUGGAUGUGAGGAGAGGACAAGUGAUCUAGCUACGCAUUGUUCAUGCCAUGGAACACACUUUUUCUGCAAAAUGAACAGAUUUACAUCGGUUAUCAUUCAGGUACUAAGACAAAAUAAUUUGUUUCUUAACCUCGUAAAGCCUAAGCAUUAUUCAGUUAACCAUGAGAACAGUUUUUUUUUUAUUGUGGGAGAGAAGUAUUCACACCUUAUCUUGUGCCGCUGCAACAAAGUCGAUUGUCGUUUAUAUAUGUUGCUUGGACACCAAUCAUCCAAGAUCCGAUGGAGGUAUAUAUCAUCCAACGCAUAUGUCUUCAACUAUCCACUGCAUUUAUAUAAACACUAGUGGAGAAAUUGUGAACCGAGCUUAAUUUGACUUAUAUCUAGAUAUAAAAUUUACUCUUUCAGGUGACAAAAUAUUUUUACCAAAGUGUGGAAACCUAACGUUUUUAUAUUGAUAUACGUGCAUGCCACCGAGAGAGGCACACGAAUUGCAUGAUCAAUCAGAGACAAAGGGAAGAGCUUAGCUUUUAACCUGUCAUUGAUAUUUGAAGGUCUCCCUCUCAACAUGUAAAUGUAAAUGUAAAUUUAUAAAAUUAAUCAAAAUAAAAUAUUCGUUCAUUUAGAAAAAGUAACAAAUUAUUAAAUUUUGUAGAUAUAUAUGUUUGAAGAGUAAGAAUUUAAAAAUAUGAAAGAAAACAUGCAUGAUGUUAUGUACAACAGAAAAAAAUAUCGUUUACCAAUUUAUUUACAAACUCAAAACAAAAUCCAAUGAGCUGACCCAACCAAACCGAAAAUAAAAUAAAAAACGUGGUUCACGAGCCAAACCGAAGGUGGGGGAUACAACGUAUAUACACGGUAACGGUAGGCUUCGCGCCUCCGUCAAAUGACGUGUCAUCCUCUUGGAUUUUCCGUUAAAGUAGACGACACCGCCGUUAAUCGCCGUGGUCCAUGGAUUUCUUCAACCAGAGGAAGAAGAGAAGACCCUGAGAGACGCCAUCUCCCCCGUUUCUUCUCUCUCUCUCAAUUCCACCUCGAUCUGACGAUCAUCAUAAACCCUACUCUUCGAUCGUAAGCUCAGAUCUCCGUUUCGAGCUGGAUCGGGCGAAUCAGUGCUCGAUCGCUUCUCUCCGAUUGGAAUUUGAUCGGAAUAUUCGAUUCACGAUCGGAAAUCUGGAGAGGGAGAUAGAGAGUAGGUAGAGAGUUUGGUGGAGAUGAUGCAGAGACGGAGUCCGCCGAAGCACAGGCAUGACGGGACGUCGCCGCUUCCAUUGGGGAUGGAUUGGAGUCCUCCGCCGCGCAAAUUGGUUAGCUCUUACGUUUCCCGCGUAUUCGAACUUUAUUGUGGGAGCUUCGUGCUUGAAUUCGUUUUUGGGGGGUUUGAGUGAGUCCCAAGCUAGAAGCUACCAUCAAAGCCCUAAGUAAUUGGGAAACUCCUAACAAUUAGCUGAAGCAAUUGGUGAAUUAUGUUUCGUUGAACAUCAGGAGUAGCUAAAACUUUGGUUAUGCUCCUUGGAUAGUUGGUUCUGUUUGGCUAUCAAUUGCAUUUUUGAUAUAUGUAAAGUUGGAGACUUUAAGGCAGUGAGAUUAUUAUUGUGCAGAAUGGUGGAGAUACUGUUUGGCCUCAUGACCCUCGAACCGGAUGGAGUUAUUGUGUUACAAUACCCUCCUGGGCUGUCCUUCCAAAGUCUAAACAUUCAGAUCCCGUUGUGGUAAGUCAAAUCUCCUGGGUUUAUCUCUUGCAAGCUCAUAAUCUUUAGUGUUUGUUUAUAGCAUUUUUUUUUUUGCUGAACCAUAUAGCGUGAACGUUUGUGGAUCAAUAAACUCUUAACAUGAAUAAUGAUAUAUUGUUUCCUUCCUCUUCUACCUGAAUUAUCUACUGGAGUGUGCCUUCUUUUUUUUUUUUGGUAGUUGAAGAGUUUUGUUGUUGUGCAUGUAUUAGAUUAUUCCUGACAUUUUAGAGGAACAGUUUUACAGGGUUCAGAUAAGUGUGCAGUCUCCGGAAGGUGUUACCACAAUGCGAGGAGUGUUGAGAAGAUUUAAUGAUUUUCUUAAGCUAUUAACUGAUGUAAGAAUUUUAUUUGCCUUAUACAACUCUCCAUUUUUUUCUUCACUUCUCAACGAUAUGCACAUUCAUGUUUUCCUCUCAGCUUAAAAAAGCAUUUCCCAGAAAAAGUUUUCCAUCAGCUCCACCCAAAGGGCUGUUACGUAUGAAAAGCAGAGCAGUGUUAGAAGAGGUAUGCAUUUUUCUUGGCGCUAACUGAAUUAGGUCACUUGUGUAACCCCUUUCUCUAAACUUCGCCCAACGAAGAGUAAGCACGAAUAGGGCAGAUGUAUAGAUAUACGGAAAGCCAUGUACCCAGCAUACAAUUAUUCAUGCAAAAAAUCUGUUUCACAAGUGAUAACUGUGACCUUGUUGCAGAGAAGGUGUUCUCUUGAGGAAUGGAUAACGAAGCUAUUAUCCGAUAUAGAAUUGGCAAGAAGUGUCGUAGUUGCAUCCUUUCUUGAACUAGAAGCUGCUGCUAGGUCUGGUAUGAGCUAUUACAUUAUGCUCUUAAGCCGUGCUUUGGUAAACUUUAUUAACUGUUAUUAAAUUCUACCGUGAUGUUGCAUUUCAGCAUGCCAAGAUGUAGAUCAGAAUGCUUCUGAUGCGAAUAAUGAUAGCACAAGUUCGUCACCCAUGGUUCAUCCAAGUUUGAGCUUGUUUCAGACUGGCGGCAGUUCUUCUCUCACAUCUGACUAUGGCAGUGAUACUGUUUAUGAAACAUCUGAGCUUGGAUCUCCAAGUGUAGGACAGGAUGAUAUUUCUGAAAUUGGUACCGAAGAUCUAACUCUGGAUGAAGAAGUAACAAAUCCAAUAGAGAAGCUCGUUAACUUUAGCAUGUCCAACAUUGACGAGGGACUUUCAAUGAGCCAAACUAUUCUAGAGCAACUUGAAGACUUUUCCAAACGUAAAGUCCGCUCAAGAUAUGUCGAUAAUAUCCAAGGGAAGGAUGUGUAUAAUGGAAACGCUUCUAAAGAUGUGUUUCUUGGUAACAAUGGCUCACGACUUCUCUCUGAAUUAGAAUCAUCAGCUCACUCAGUUAUGCAUAAUAGAAAUCUUUCUGUUGAAAGUGCUGCCGGGUUUUCUCUACACACCGGUGAGACCUCAACAUCUGGUCUCCUAAGUUCAAGCAGUGAAAGCCACCUGGAUCUGAACCGAGGUGCUGGUGUAUCGCAUGGAACUGGUCUUGUUUGCACCCCAGAGAGACAGGGUAGUGCACAAAUAGUUCUUCCAGUGGACCUGCGUAAGAAAUUGAACAAGACUCUGUUAGCCACGAAUGAGAGACUUGUCAAUGCAAAAACAGAUAUGGAAGAUCUUAUAGCAAGACUAAAUCAAGAGAUAGCCGUGAAAGAUUACCUGAACAAAAAGGUACAAUAAGAAAGCUCCUUUUCUUUUUGGUAUCCGUAUCUUAUCAUUUUUUUUCUAUAGAACGAAUGGUAGUGUUGUAAUCUUGUUUUUCUGGUCAGGUUAAUGAUUUAGAAGGGGAACUUGAAACUACUAAGCAAAGAAGCAAAGAGAAUUUGGAGCAAGCUAUUUUGACCGAGAGAGAAAGAUGUACUCAGAUGCAGUGGGAUAUGGAAGAACUUAGACAAAAAUCUUACGAGAUGGAAAUGAAGUUAAAAUCGAGAGAGGUAUGAUUUAAAAUAGUCUCAUAUCUAUUAAAAUUAUUUUAGCAACCAAGCUGGUUCGCGUAGCAGGCUGAUUCAAAUCAUUACAACAGGAUGGGAGCUCACAUGAAGAACCCACUGAAGAGCCAACUAUUUCCGAGAGAGAUGUUUUGUGGAAAGAAUUGGAUGCCAGAAAACAACAACUGGGGGAUCUCUCCAGGCGAUAUAAUGAAUUAGAGGCAAAAUCUAAAGCAGAUAUUAAAGUUCUUGUCAAAGAGGUUAAAUCUCUGAGGCGUUCUCAUGUGGAGCUAGAAAAGAAGCUGACUCAAUCUUUGACAGAUAAAACAGAAGCUGAGGUAAUUUCUGGCUAUGACAGCACCAUGGGUUUGUAGAUUUUUACUAUGUAUGUAUGAAAACAAGAGAGAUAACUGAGCCUGGAAGAACGUUGCACUUUUCAGAAACUGCUGGAACAUGAGAGAAAGCUACUUGAGAACUCAGCAUCGGCUAGAAAAAAGUUGCUUAGUGACUGCAGAAUUCUCCACGACCGCCUUAAAGAGUACAACUUGAAUUUAUCAACAGACGGAAAUGGUAGCCUGGUAGAGGACUCAACUACAGUAUCAGAUGCUCUGCGUUUGCUGUCAAUAUCUGAUGAUCAAAUUGAGGAGGUAAUACUGCAUCUCUGCUUUAUCUCCUUUUUAAAUCACAGUUUCCCAACCCAAUCACAUCCAUGGUUUCCUCUACUAGGAGUUGCUUUUCACUGCUGCUUGAUACAUGCAUCGGGAUAAAGCUAUUUGUUAGCGUAGGGUAGUUAGUUAUUCGCUGUACUAGUGAAGCAUUGCUAAAACAAACCUUGCUUGUAACACUGUAACGGUGGCCAUUUUUCAGGCUCAGCUGCUUGCCGGGUUUGAUGAAACUGCUCAGGGCAUUGAUAAAUCUCUCAGCAUCCAUACCGAGACAAGAAUCAUGGAGGACGAGCUGAGGAAGACAUUAGGAGAGAUCUUUGUUGAGAAUGCCAAAUUGAGAAAACAGGUGAACUCUGCAAUGCUUCGUGCUCUCCAAAGACCACCAAGGAAGAUAUGAACGAGAAAUAGGAGGCAUCAACAGAAACACUGAACGUCGUAUAGGUAUUAAUCAUAACAGUUGCUUUGACCUGAGAAUAGAGUUACACAAUGAGAACUGCCAUUUUUAUUGUCUUUGAUCAAUGGACUGGUCGCUUUCUAUUACAAAAGGGUUGGUCUCUUGGUGAAGAAGUUGAAGCUGUGUACUGCGUAUGUUUGUUGUAUAACCGUAUUGCGUUGUUAAUCCUUUUUGCAUAUAUAAUAAAGUGUGUUGUAACAUGCCGAAUUGACCGAAAAAAUGUGAACUGAACCGGAACAAAAUUGACCGAAACCAGACUGAAUCUGAUUUUUUUUUUCAGAUAUAAGUCGAUUCUCGGUUUUAUUAUCUAAACCAAAGAAACCAUUAAGGCUCUUGAUUCUCAGAUCUCUGCUCUUAGUCAAGACAUUGUCAACAAGGUUCUUCCUUCUUAAAACAAAAAAAAAAGAACUCUUAUUAAUUAAUUACUCAUGUAAAUCUCUCUUGGAUUGUUCGUGUAUAAGUUUUAUGAUAAAAUUGUUAGCUUUAUAAGUAAGUGUCAUGGACCAUCAUCGUAUGAAGAGGAUGUAAUUAUCUCAGUAAUCUGGAUUUGUCAGUCUUGUUCCACUCACAAGUCACACUGUCGUUACGUUUCAUCUAGAGGCUAUGGUCAGGAUUACUCAAAGUAUAUGGUAUCUUAGUUCUUGAUAUAUUGGAAGGUGGUUGUUAGAUUCUGGAUGGUUACGACGACUCUCGCGAUCUAAAUAGCGUGUGAUCAGAUCAUGUUUCUUCUUUUGGUUUUCUUGAUUUAGUCAUUUUGUCCACCGUAAAAGUCGAUACUCAUCAGAUAUUAUAUGUUUACCGUAGGGGUGGGUGGCAUUGCACGAAAAAUCACCCUAAUUCUCAAAUUUUGUAAUUUGAUUUUCGAUUUGUGUUUCGAAAAAAUAUAUGUAUAUCCAGUUUUUUUUUUAUAUAUCUAGAAAUUUGCAAAUAUUUUUUUACAGAUAUUCAUAGAUAUUUUAUCUAUUUUGUUUAGAAAAAAAAGUAGUUUCACCAUUAUUUAUAAAUUAAUUACUAGUUUAACUCUAAUAUUAUUUUAAUUACUAGUUUAUUUUUCUUUUUUGUUCAAUACUCCUUCUGUUUCAUAAUAAUUGUCAUUCUAGCUUUUUUUUCUUGUUACAUAAAAAGUGUUAUUUUACAAUUUCAAUGCAAAUUAUACUUAAUUUCACCCACCGUAGAGACCAAGGGUUUGAUGUUUGCAACAUUGCAUUUUACUCACCAUCUAAGGUUUUUGUGUGUUUGCUUUACAUUUUGCUUCGAUUUAUUACCUCCAAAUUUCAGCUAUCAUGUUUCCCUUUCAUUAUAAUGUUUUGUAUCAUUCCAUAGCUAUGUUUUCAUGCGGAAUAUUUAGUAUGAAUCUGAGGGUUUUAUAUAAUGUAUAUCCCAUGAAUCAUUAAGUCUUAUUGGAAGGAAUAUUCGUUAAGGGUAGCUUAGUGAAACAAAUGCGAUAGCAUAAUAUACCACCUAGUUUUAACCAGAAAGAUAUAAAGAGACCAAAAUGUAGUCUACUUAUGUAUGCUAAUGUUUUAAUUGUAUCGAGAUUCAAAGCUGCAUAAUGCAAAUAUUAUAUUUACUAUAUGAAGCAAUGGUAGGUGGGAACCAUCUUUUGGGCUCUAUUGAUCAUAAUCUGCAAGAUUGCUCUCGACCUAACUACUGAUUUUUGUUCGUUAUUAAUAUCUCCUUCGCUAUCUUCGAUAUUUUAUGUGAUGUUUAAUACAUAUAUAGGACUGAAAAUUGAGAAGGAACAACCUUAUUUCUGCGACAUAGUGAGUUAUCAAAUACGAGAAACCAUAUAUGAAUUAGAAAUACAAAUCAUGAUCUAGAAAUCACACGUUUGAGCAAUUCGAACGUGCCAAACAAAGGAUCCAAAUGAAUAUCAGAUAGUAGUUCUCUGUUGAGUAUACGUAAGUUGAUUAUCUUCUUUUAUCUUUUUAAGAACUAAGUAAGUUGAUUAUCUUAACACAUGCAUGCUUUCACACAAUCAAAUAAAUUAAAUGUCAUCGGUGUUACGAAACUUUUAAUGGCUAUAUACGUGUGUCAGGAUACGUGUAUCUUAAUCACAUGACCUCUCAUCAAACAUUGCUCAUAAAAACAUACUAAACAUAUAAAGGAGCCCAAGAAUCUUGCAUGACAUUGACAUGCAAGCAAAAAUGGAUGAGACCACUGUAAUAUUGGUCACUUACACAAAUACAGUACUAGGUUUGAUAUAAGGAAUUUGUUAAACGCUUAUGAUUGUUCCGAAAAGGAAGAAGCAUAUUUUUUUUUCUGAAAAAGGGCUUAGGAAGAAGCAUAUUGCCCAUAAAGAAAAUCCUAAAUUCAAUGCAUAUAACCACCUUUGUAUUGUCUGAUCUUCAUAUUAAUUUGUUAUUCAAGGAUUUAAAAUAUUAUCAUACUUUAAGAAACUAUAAGAAGAUUAUCUAAUAUACAAUUACAAAAUCUUCCAUUCUAUUGUAAUUCACGAUACGGCACAAAAGUAUACAUAUCCCCAAGAUCUUGGUUUCUUUUGCCUCCUCUUUUCCUAGUAUACACACCCAUAAGCAUAUUAAUAAGAAAUAAGAAUCACAUCAGUUCUAAUGUUUGAAUCACUCAUUUAAGAGAUACGCAUUAUGAGUUGUUGAGAUCUCCCAAAUAUUCGUUUGAUAUCCUUAGUUAUAUCAUUAUUGGUGAUUAAAUUAAUUUAUUAUCAACUUUGGGAUGCCGUCCAACAAAAUCAUGAUCAUGAAAUCAGAUUGUGUUCCAAUAAAGAUUGUCUCAUGACGUUUAAUUUAAGAACAAUGGGGUAUAUAUUAAGAAUUUAUAAUACUGAAAGCCGAUAUUAUUUCCAACCAGUAUAACCAUACAAAGCAUUAACAACAAUAGAAAAUCAAUUAAAAUUCGAUCUUAUAUAACUUAGAAUGCAAAUUACAUUAAUCGAAGAGCUUGAAUGGUAUUUAUAUUUUGACCCGAGCUUAGAAAGCGCGGUUUUGUUUGUUUUUCAUUUAUUAAUCGAAAACUAAUUUACAAAUUAUCAUUAUUUUUGUUUCGAACCAUAACAAUUGAGUUUUUAGGUUUUUAUCAUUUGUUUCUUUUUCUCUUCAAAAUAUAGUAAUUGUUCAAAAUGUGGUAUUUGUUCUAUAAUAAUGUUUGAGUUUUAAGAUUUGUUUUCAUAUCUGACCUAGAUUCAUGGUUGAACCUAUAGACUCGAUACAUUGUAUAUAAUCCGGUUCAGAUUUAACGAAAAAUUCGUUAAUUAAAAAUCCGAUAUAACCAUGCAAAAACCCAAAAACUCACUAUUAAACUGCGAUCUAAUACCAUUGAUUCGAUAAAAAAAACAAAAUAUCUGAUAGUAUUUUUUUCAAAAAAUUGAUUAAAUUACUCAUAUUUUUUAAUAUUACAUAAUUUAGUGAUUCCUUAGAAUUUGAUAAAAAAAAUUUAUGUUAUCCAAAUAAAAAAUGAAAAUAUAAAAAAACUUAUUGAUAGGAAAAUAUUAGUUUAUUUUCGUUAUUAAUAACCUAUUAUAAGUUUUUGUUUUUAUUUUAGAUUUAAAAAUUGAUUUUAAGAUAGUUUUUAGAAUAUUCUUGAACACUCGUAAUUGCCAUAUCAAUAUUAUGUAUAAAAUGAUAUUAUACAAGGAAAAAUGAUAUUCAAAUAUGUAUAUGAUAUAUGGUGUAGGAUAUAGGAAUUUGGUUUGUAUUGAAAAUCUGUAUAAUAUUCAAAUGAUCUAUUUUGAAUAUUGAUACAUAUAUUUAAGAAAAUAAUAUUUUCAUGUUUCUUAAUUUAUUUAUAGUUCAUAAUAUAUUUAUAUUUAUAUUAAAUUUAAAGUUAGUAUAUCUUUUAAAUAUACAGAAGAGUAGUGAGUAGUUACCUUUGGAUUCAUGGGUUAAGGUAGAUUAAGGUGAUUAAGUGUAGAUCUAGGGUGUUUUGUUGUAGAUCCUUCUUAUUCCUUGCUAGUAGAGUGAUCUAAAUGCUAUUUUAGAGUUGGUCUCUCUAAGGUUGAGCUCUAGACAUUUCAUACCUGAAAAGUAUUGAUGAAAUGUCUGAACCAACACUCCUAAGCUUUUAACACUCUUUACCAAAGAGAUUUGUUGUUAAAGGUGUUAAGAUGGCUAAUAGACUUGAUUUUAAUGAUUGCUUUGAUAAUAUUCAACCAAAGAGAUUUGAUGCUUGAGUUAUCUUAGUGAAUGAACAUUCAUCUAGAGAUAGAGUUUGUUUAGGAUUGUGUCUAAGCCUAAGGUUGAUAGAUUGAUUGAAAGGUACCACCUUUAGAUUGAAACUUGAUCACCCAAGGUCAAUUCCCUUAGCCCAUGGAUUCUCUCAUCUCAUAAAACAAAAGAAAGCUUUGUUCUUAUUUGCAUUUUAGUAAUAUUUUAGUCCAAAAUCAUCUUACCACUUGAUUGCACUUAGAUUAAGUAUGAACUUGUAUUCUCUUUGAUUCAGAAUGCUUAGAAAUGGCAUUUUAGUAGUAUUUUAGUCCAAAAACAUCUUAUCACUUGAUUGCACUUAGAUUAAGUAUGAACUUGUAUUCUCUUUGAUUCAAAAUGCUUAGAAAUGGAUUGACAUCUUAAGUACUACUUUGAUUUGAAACAUUGGACCCGAGAAAAGUCCAUUUCAAAUUUGGCGCCGUUGCCAAUUCUAAGUUGUUUUGACAUUGAGAUUUGGUCCUUACUUGAGACUAAGUCUUACUUUUAUUAUAUCUAGUUACUGAUACUCUAUCCUAGCCCUUUCGUAUCUCAGGUGCAUGAACUUGAGGAGCAGAGGCCCAACAAACCUAGUUCCACCAGUUGAAGACAUUAAAGCACUUGAGAGGGAGAUUACAAGGAGAAGAAGAGAAGAAGAGCAACAGUCUCACCUAGACAGAUUGGGGUUUGUGAUGGAUCAACAUCAGAAUCAGCCUCAAGAAGGAGAGGCCAUUACCCAAGGAGCUGCUAACCUUCGGCUACAACACCCACAGCGACAAACUAGAGCCAUUGGCACCUAUGAUCAACCUAAUAUCCAUGGGAACAGGAUGGGCAUUAGAGCACCAGCUGUGGAGAACAACAACUUUGAGAUCAAAUCUGGUUUGAUCAACAUGAUAGAGAACAACAAGUAUCAUGGUCUUGCUUUGGAAGAUCCACUUGAUCAUUUGGACAGAUUUGACAAGUAUUGUGGUUUGUCCAAAACCAAUGGUGUUUCUGAAGAUGCUUUCAAGCUGCGACUGUUUCCAUUCUCAUUGGGAGACAAAGCUCACACAUGGGAGAAGAACAUCUCAAGUGACUCUAUCACCACUUGGGAUGAAUGCAAGAAAGCUUUCCUCACCAAGUUCUUCUCUACUUCAAGGACUGCCAAGCUUAGGAAUGAAAUCUCUGGGUUUCAACAAAAGAAUCUUGAAAGCUUUGGGGAAGCAUAUGAGAGGUUCAGAAGCUACUUAAACAAAUGUCCACACCAUGGCUUCACCAAAGAGAGCCUGCUUAGUACUUUCUACAGAGGUGUCCUACCCAAGUAUAGAAGCCGGCUUGAUACCGCCAGCAAUGGUUUCUUCUUAGGAAGAAAUGAAACAGAGGCUGAGGAGCUUGUAGAGAACAUGGUUCAGAGUGAUUCAGUCUACAGUGAUGAGCAUAAUAAGAGCAACAGAGGCAGUGGAGGUGAUGACUCAAACACAAAGAGAGAGUUGAAGGCUUUACAAGACAAGAUGGAUCUACUUCUUAUGGAUAGAGCCAAACAAGAGAAAGUGAACUUUGUUAGUGAGCAGAAACAAGAAGAGAUUGAUGUUCUUAAUGAAGUUGAUGGUCUAGAAGGUCAAGAAGAGUUGUGCUUUGUGAAUGCUAAUGGGACAUGGUACAAGAAGGAGCCUCACUUUCAAUAUCAAAACAACUACCAACAAAAGCCCUUCUACAACAACCAACAAGGAAGUUAUCAAGCUAGCCAAAACUACUCUCACGGUUUCUCCUCCAAAGGAAAUCAGUCUACACAAGGCCAAGCCGGAUCUUCUACUCCUGCUCAACAAGAAAGUAGCACUGAUGCAAUGUUGAAACAGAUCUUGGAUUCUCAAACUACAAGUGAGAAGCACAUUGGAUAUGAGUUGAAGAACCUUCACACCAAAGUAGAUGGAAGCUACAAUAAUCUCAACAACAAAUUCUCAAACCUUGCUUCUAACUUCAAGGCUUUGGAGAAUCAGUUUACCUCUAUGACUUCAACCUCCAAGCUCCCAAUGGGAUCUCUACAAGGAAAAUCAGAGCAACACCCUAAAGAGUAUUGCAAUGCUAUCCUCUCUACUUCUUCUAAGAGUGAGUUAAGUGAUCAUAGGAGAGAAGUAGAUGAGCUUGAAAGACUCUUGUAUGGAACAGAAGUUCUUGCCACGGUUGAAGCACAUAUUGUGGAGAAGGUUGAACACAAGAUUGUGGAAAGGGUUGCGAUACAAACAGUAAAGAAGGUUGAGGAAAAUGUUUUGCAACCAGUUAGACACAAGGCUGAGAAACCGGUUAUUGGGAAAGCUCUCACGCAACCGAAGGAGGUCCAGCUAGAAGAAGCUAAUGCGGUUGAACAAUCACCUUACGACAAGCUCCCAUUUCCACAACGGUUCCUCACUAAAGCUCAAAAGAAGGUGAUCUCUAAGUUCAGAAAAGACAUGGGAGAUUUAGGAGUCAAACUUCCACAUAUAUCAAAUAGGCAUGAAGCUCAUGUCCAAAUGAUGCUCAUCAAGGACAUUCUAGCUCAUAAAGAAGAAGUCGGAGAGCUCCUAGACAUCUCUACUAUGCAGCUUGAUCCACCAGUCACACCAAAGUCCCUUCCCAAACUAGAAACCCAAGGGAAGUUCACCUUGUCUUGCUCCCUUGGUAAGUUCACACUUGAUGAUGCUCUUGUUGAUUCUGGUGCAAGUGUGAAUGUGAUCUCAAUAGAGAUGGUGAAGAGUCUUGGGAUUGAAAACAUGGAGCCAAACACAUCUUUACUAAUGUUUGGGGAUUCCUCUUUUACAACCCCAAUCGGUCUCAUCAAGGACUUUCCAUUGAAGAUUGGAGCUUGCACCAUUCCUAUUGACCUCACUGUUUUGAAGAUGGCAACUGAGAAGAGAGUCCCAUUGAUCCUUGGAACACCAUUUCUCACAACAGUAGGAACUUGCAUUGACUUUGCCAACAAGAAGGUUACACUUCUAAAUAUCAACAAAGCUGUCUCUUACCCAAUCAAGUCUCCUUUGAUGAAUGUCGAGUAUUGUGGAACCAUCACUUGUGGAGAACUUCCACAUGAGAAGAUCAAAGAUGAAGUGAUGGCUAGUGAAAAACAAAUUCUUGAUGGAGAUUCAUCUCAUGAGAUAUGUGAUGAGCACUUGGAGGAGG